RNAcentral lists this ribosomal RNA (115 nucleotides) under Mucilaginibacter frigoritolerans. The record is from RNAcentral. Lineage: Bacteria; Pseudomonadati; Bacteroidota; Sphingobacteriia; Sphingobacteriales; Sphingobacteriaceae.
UCAGGUGCCUAUAUCGGCGGUGUCCACCUCUUCCCAUUCCGAACAGAGAAGUUAAGCCCGCCAGAGCCGAUGGUACUGCAGUAAAAUGUGGGAGAGUAGGUCGGUGCCAAAUUUU